This 494-nucleotide ribosomal RNA is filed under the name uncultured bacterium. RNAcentral's name for it is "partial 16S ribosomal RNA". It matches the Rfam family "Bacterial small subunit ribosomal RNA", at positions 28 to 507 of the family's 1533-position model. The record is from RNAcentral.
GACGAACGCUGGCGGCGUGCUUAACACAUGCAAGUCGAACGGAAGGGCCUGCUUUCCCUUGUGGAUUGCGGGUACUCGAGUGGCGAACGGGUGAGUAACACGUGAGUGAUCUGCCCCCAACUUGGGUAUAAGCCUGGGAAACUGGGUCUAAUUCCCGAUAGGACUGCAGGGUGGUGCCUGUGGUGGAAAACGAUUUUCUAGUGGUGGGGGAUGAGCUCGCGGCCUAUCAGCUUGUUGGUGGGGUAAUGGCCUACCAAGGCGGCGACGGGUAGCCGGCCUGAGAGGGUGGACGGCCACAUUGGGACUGAGAUACGGCCCAGACUCCUACGGGAGGCAGCAGUGGGGAAUAUUGCACAAUGGGCGGAAGCCUGAUGCAGCGACGCCGCGUGGGGGAUGACGGCCUUCGGGUUGUAAACUCCUUUCGACCGCGAGGAAGCCACCUGGUUGGAAGGGUGGUGACGGUAGUGGUAGAAGAAGCACCGGCUAACUACGUG